Molecule: ribosomal RNA, 400 nt
Filed under: uncultured bacterium
Lineage: Bacteria
Description: bacterial SSU rRNA
Rfam family: Bacterial small subunit ribosomal RNA
Source: RNAcentral
GGGGAAUAUUGGACAAUGGGCGCAAGCCUGAUCCAGCCAUGCCGCGUGAGUGAUGAAGGCCUUAGGGUUGUAAAGCUCUUUCAGUAGGGAAGAUAAUGACGGUACCUACAGAAGAAGCCCCGGCUAACUUCGUGCCAGCAGCCGCGGUAAUACGAAGGGGGCUAGCGUUGUUCGGAUUUACUGGGCGUAAAGCGCACGUAGGCGGAUUGGUCAGUUAGGGGUGAAAUCCUGGAGCUCAACUCCAGAACUGCCUUUAAUACUGCCAGUCUAGAGUCCGGAAGAGGUGAGUGGAACUCCUAGUGUAGAGGUGGAAUUCGUAGAUAUUAGGAAGAACACCAGUGGCGAAGGCGGCUCACUGGUCCGGUACUGACGCUGAGGUGCGAAAGCGUGGGGAGCAAAC